CCAAGCCCAUGCAAGCGACGCAGCGGGCGCUGAAGGCGCUGGCGAGGAGCUCUCUUUUGACUUGGUCCUCCCAACGUGGCAUGCGCUUCGUGAGCAGGCCCGUUUUGUGGGCCGUUCUAUCAGACGUGGGGUGUCAUGGGCCCGGUUGUCGGUGAGUCUGAAGCGAGGUUUUUCUGGUCGAUCCAUCGAUCUCCGGGUCAAAAGCGGUGGCGUGGCCCAUGGGAGAUGGGAGGGAGUCGCGCAACACGUGUCGCUCGAUUGCCUGGGCGCUGGGCGGGCCUGUGUACAGAGGGGGGAGAGGGGUUGUUGGUGAGGGGUUUGCCGCAACCCCAGCCGAGCACAGACCAAGCUGGAGCGGGGGCUGGUGGGCGCCAAGGUGUUCUUGGUGUGGCUUCUCAGUCCAGGCGGUCUCCGCCGCCGCUGCAUUGGAAGGGAGAUGCCCUCUGCUCUGUUUUGGGGCGCCGUUCUCGUGGUCUCCUGGCUGCUGCUUCCGGCUAGGGAGGCUUCGGCUCUGCGUCAGGUCUUCUUCUUUGCCGUAUCGCUUUUGGGGCACCGUGGUACUCCCUCCGUAAACUGAUAUAAAAGCAUUUAGAUCACUAUUUUAGUAUUCUAAACGCUCUUAUAUUAGUUUACGGAGGGAGUACCUGAUACUUACGUUGUUCCUUCUCUUAUAUUAAGAUUUGUAUAUGUCGCUACAUGUUCAGUUUUUGGGUGGUGUAUUUCGAUUUUGUCGGUAUGUUAGUGUGGUGGUCAUGUUCCGGUUCCCACAAACCACAAUGUAGAGAAAGAAAACCCAUUGGAGUAUCUGAAUUCGCUCAAGGCGUCUAAUAAUCCUACCCAUUAUCUCAAGCUAAAACUUGUACUCCCUAUCAUUUUGUUGACGAUCCUGAAUCAAUCACUGGGUCUUUGCAAGGGGACAAGAUUGCUGAUUACAAGGCUUUCUGAUUUUGUUCUAGAGGGGAUUUCGUUGUAUUAACGGGGAUUGCAGUUGGAGAAUCUGUUUGUGUUCCCAGGAUAGUGCUCAAUGGGACCAAUCCAAAGUCACCUUUUGCUCUUCAACCUAGGCAGUUUCGUGUCAAGGUUUGUUAUGCAAUGACAAAUUAACACAAGUCUGCAUAUUCAGAUCGCUCACAGCAUGUACUCCAUCAGUCCGGCAAUACGAAAAGGCCGAGCUAACCUGGUUCUCAGGAUGGGCGUAUCUGUGUGAGAGUUUGUCGGCUUUGGGAACAUUGUGAUGAGGGCAGGGAUGCUGAGGUCCUGUGUCUGCAUAUGGUUUUAGGAGGCAAGAAGACAUAUGGCUAUCAUCGUUUUGUGGGGUUGGAAUGAAGGGCAAGUGGAUGCUGGUGAAUUGAUCAGGAGGAGCCGUGGGGAACCAGUGAUCAUGCUUGCUAUGGGGUGCAGUUUUAAGAUGCAGGAUUGUAUACCUCUUUAUGAUCUGCGCUUUCAUUUCGGUUCAGUGUUACACAAUGGUUGCGUGUUGUUUCACUUUCAUGCUUUGCUGCUGUCUUUGGUUCUAACUUUUUAAUUAAUUUGUAUUCUGGAGGUAUGGUUAUGCUGACGGGGAGCUACGGGUCGAAGUUUUCAAUCAGUCUUGCUAAUCCAGGUGUAUCUGGCUUACGUAACAAGUAAUUGUUGUUCUUAUCUGUUGAAGUGGCGUUAGUAUAAGCAGUGAUGUGUUCUUGCUGCUUGCUGACAGGGACCGGCAUUUUAGCUCCACUGGGAUGGAAGACGCCACAGUGGCUUAUUUAGCUCAUGUCAUUCCACGUGUGUUUAUGGUAUGCACAAGGCCUUCAGAUGCAAGAUAACUGUGGAGGCUAUACCAUCUAACCAAAAUUAUCGUGUGACCAGUAUAGCUGGAGUUUUUUUUUUUUUUGAGAAAUACCAGUGUAGCUGGAAGGCAGUAAGAUGGCGGUGGUUAUCAGUGUUCAAAGCUGGGCUGUGGGAGUUGAUCAAAGAAAUCACAGCCCACUUUUUCCUUACAUGCCACACAAGUAGAAAUCCCCCCUACGAAAUCCCUGUGGCACAACCAGCGCAGCGAACCGCGCCGCACUCGAAGAAAUCAUUGCUGAAUUAGAUACAGAAGGAUCAUGUGAGUGACUCCGGUGAAUGUGCCUAAAUAUCUCUACUGGCUUCCGCCUUGGCAUGUAUAAAUUCUACUGUAUGAUGCAUUGUCACUUUCAGGAAGAUGUAAAAUAUUGACAUGAUGUUGCAAGGCAACACGUUCUUCCCGUCAUUGUUGGGCUUUGCUUGAUGUUUUAAUAUUAUGGCUAUAAUGCUACUGCCUGAUAUUUUUUUAUCGUGUUUUUUUGUUCACAUAUAUAAAAACCUAAUACUGGAUGAUUUGCCCAGUUUUGACUAAUUUAGAAUAAAAGAGCUUGCUAAAAUAUACUCCCUCCCUCCCGUAAUUCUUGUCGUGAGGUCAUUUUUGCAAUUUAGUCCUCGUCGUUUUCCCGACCAAA
This is a long non-coding RNA of Triticum dicoccoides, 2459 nucleotides long. RefSeq lists it as uncharacterized. The transcript is spliced from 3 exons. Lineage: Eukaryota; Viridiplantae; Streptophyta; Magnoliopsida; Poales; Poaceae. The record is from RefSeq and is a predicted model, not a curated record.